GAGGUUGUGGUUUAGUGGUAGAGUGCUUGCCUAGCAUUGUGUAAGGCACUGAGUUUGAUUCUCAGCACCACA
RNAcentral lists this transfer RNA (72 nucleotides) under Marmota monax (woodchuck). RNAcentral's name for it is "tRNA.Ala". Lineage: Eukaryota; Metazoa; Chordata; Mammalia; Rodentia; Sciuridae. The record is from RNAcentral.